CGCCUCUUGCUAACAAAGGAAGUACUAGAGGUCCCGCCUGCCCUGUGACCACAAAGUUUAACGGCCGCGGUAUCCUGACCGUGCGAAGGUAGCGUAAUCAUUUGUCUUUUAAAUAGAGACCUGUAUGAAUGGCAUAACGAGGGUUUAACUGUCUCCUUCCCCCAGUCAAUGAAAUUGAUCUGCCCGUGCAGAAGCGGACAUAAAUACAUAAGACGAGAAGACCCUAUGGAGCUUUAGACAAAAGAUCAAACAUGUAAAGAAACCAAAACAACCAAAAGGAACACGAAGGCCACAAAACCCAACGUAAACUGAUCUAAAUGUCUUCGGUUGGGGCGA
This 336-nucleotide ribosomal RNA is filed under the name Anguilla rostrata (American eel). RNAcentral's name for it is "partial large subunit ribosomal RNA". It matches the Rfam family "Bacterial large subunit ribosomal RNA", at positions 1816 to 2282 of the family's 2925-position model. The record is from RNAcentral. Lineage: Eukaryota; Metazoa; Chordata; Actinopteri; Anguilliformes; Anguillidae.